RNAcentral lists this transfer RNA (71 nucleotides) under Liobagrus marginatoides. RNAcentral's name for it is "tRNA-His". It matches the Rfam family "tRNA". From Rfam's summary of the family: Transfer RNA (tRNA) molecules are approximately 80 nucleotides in length. Their secondary structure includes four short double-helical elements and three loops (D, anti-codon, and T loops). Further hydrogen bonds mediate the characteristic L-shaped molecular structure. tRNAs have two regions of fundamental functional importance: the anti-codon, which is responsible for specific mRNA codon recognition, and the 3' end, to which the tRNAs corresponding amino acid is attached (by aminoacyl-tRNA synthetases). tRNAs cope with the degeneracy of the genetic code in two manners: having more than one tRNA (with a specific anti-codon) for a particular amino acid; and 'wobble' base-pairing, i.e. permitting non-standard base-pairing at the 3rd anti-codon position. The record is from RNAcentral. Lineage: Eukaryota; Metazoa; Chordata; Actinopteri; Siluriformes; Amblycipitidae.
GUAGACAUAGUUUAAUAUAAAACAUUAGAUUGUGAUUCUAAAAACAGGGGUUAAACUCCCCUUGUCCACCG